AUUGAACGCUGGCGGCAGGCCUAACACAUGCAAGUCGAACGAGUGGCGGACGGGUGAGUAAUGUCUGGGAAACUGCCCGAUGGAGGGGGAUAACUACUGGAAACGGUAGCUAAUACCGCAUACCAUCGGAUGUGCCCAGAUGGGAUUAGCUUGUAGGUGAGGUAACGGCUCACCUAGGCGACGAUCCCUAGCUGGUCUGAGAGGAUGACCAGCCACGCGGGAAUGUAGGCACGGUCCAGACUCCUUUGGGAGGCAGGAGUGGGGAAUAUUGCACAAUGGUGGCAAGCCUGAUGCAGCCAGUCCGCGUGUAUGAAGAAGGCCUUCUGGGUGUAAAGUACUGUCAGCGGGGAGGCGUUACCCGCAGAAGAAGCACCGGCUAACUCCGUGCCAGCAGCCGCUGUAAUAC
RNAcentral lists this ribosomal RNA (406 nucleotides) under uncultured bacterium. RNAcentral describes it as "partial 16S ribosomal RNA". It matches the Rfam family "Bacterial small subunit ribosomal RNA", at positions 30 to 526 of the family's 1533-position model. The record is from RNAcentral.